RNAcentral lists this ribosomal RNA (293 nucleotides) under uncultured Gigaspora. Its description in RNAcentral is "partial 18S ribosomal RNA". It matches the Rfam family "Eukaryotic small subunit ribosomal RNA", at positions 548 to 848 of the family's 1831-position model. Lineage: Eukaryota; Fungi; Glomeromycota; Glomeromycetes; Diversisporales; Gigasporaceae. The record is from RNAcentral.
UUGGAGGGCAAGUCUGGUGCCAGCAGCCGCGGUAAUUCCAGCUCCAAUAGCGUAUAUUAAAGUUGUUGCAGUUAAAAAGCUCGUAGUUGAAUUUCGGGGUUCUACCGUCGGUCGGGCUUUGUCUGUACUGGCGUGUAGAAUUUCUACCUUCUGGGGAACCAUUAUGUUAUUAAUUUAGCGUGGUGGGAAACCAGGACCUUUACCUUGAAAAAAUUAGAGUGUUUAAAGCAAGCUAACGCUUGAAUACAUUAGCAUGGAAUAAUGAAAUAGGACGUUCGAUCUUAUUUGUUUGG